RNAcentral lists this ribosomal RNA (500 nucleotides) under uncultured bacterium. RNAcentral's name for it is "partial 16S ribosomal RNA". It matches the Rfam family "Bacterial small subunit ribosomal RNA", at positions 30 to 523 of the family's 1533-position model. The record is from RNAcentral.
AUUGAACGCUGGCGGCAUGCCUUACACAUGCAAGUCGAACGGCAGCACGGGAGCAAUCCUGGUGGCGAGUGGCGAACGGGUGAGUAAAGUAUCGGAACGUGCCCAGUCGUGGGGGAUAACGUAGCGAAAGUUACGCUAAUACCGCAUACGAUCUAUGGAUGAAAGAGGGGGAUCGCAAGACCUCGCGCGAUUGGAGCGGCAGAUAUCAGAUUAGGUAGUUGGUGGGGUAAAGGCUCACCAAGCCGACGAUCUGUAGCUGGUCUGAGAGGACGACCAGCCAAACGGGGACUGAGACACGGCCCAGACUCCUACGGGAGGCAGCAGUGGGGUAUUUUGGACAAUGGGCGAAAGCCUGAUCCAGCCAUGCCGCGUGCAGGAUGAAGUCCUUCGGGUUGUAAACUGCUUUUGUACGGAACGAAAAGGUUUGGCCUAAUAAGCUGAGCUCAUGACGGUACCGUAAGAAUAAGCACCGGCUAACUACGUGCCAGCCGCCGCAGUAA